GACGAACGCUGGCGGCGUGCUUAACACAUGCAAGUCGAACGGAAAGGCCCUGCUUUUGUGGGGUGCUCGAGUGGCGAACGGGUGAGUAACACGUGAGUAACCUGCCCUUGACUUUGGGAUAACUUCAGGAAACUGGGGCUAAUACCGGAUAGGAGCUCCUGCUGCAUGGUGGGGGUUGGAAAGUUUCGGCGGUUGGGGAUGGACUCGCGGCUUAUCAGCUUGUUGGUGGGGUAGUGGCUUACCAAGGCUUUGACGGGUAGCCGGCCUGAGAGGGGGACCGGCCACAUUGGGACUGAGAUACGGCCCAGACGCCUACGGGAGGCAGCAGGGGGGAAUAUUGCACAAUGGGCGGAAGCCUGAUGCAGCAGCGCCGCGUGCGGGAUGACGGCCUUCGGGUUGUAAACCGCUUUCGCCUGUGACGAAGCGUGAGUGACGGUAAUGGGUAAAGAAGCACCGGCUAACUACGUG
Molecule: ribosomal RNA, 468 nt
Filed under: uncultured bacterium
Lineage: Bacteria
Description: partial 16S ribosomal RNA
Rfam family: Bacterial small subunit ribosomal RNA
Source: RNAcentral